UGAGGAAUAUUGGUCAAUGGGCGGAAGCCUGAACCAGCCAUGCCGCGUGCAGGAAGACGGCCCUACGGGUUGUAAACUGCUUUUCCGGGGGAAGAAUAAGGCCCACGUGUGGGCCGAUGCCGGUACCCCGGGAAUAAGGAUCGGCUAACUCCGUGCCAGCAGCCGCGGUAAUACGGAGGAUCCGAGCGUUAUCCGGAUUUACUGGGUUUAAAGGGUGCGUAGGCGGGCGCUUAAGUCAGCGGUGAAAUGCGGGGGCUCAACCUUCGAACGGCCGUUGAUACUGGGCGCCUUGGAUUCGGUCGAGGCGGGCGGAAUGCGACAUGUAGCGGUGAAAUGCUUAGAUAUGUCGCAGAACGCCGAUUGCGAAGGCAGCUCGCCGGGCCGAUAUUGACGCUGAGGC
RNAcentral lists this ribosomal RNA (400 nucleotides) under uncultured bacterium. RNAcentral's name for it is "bacterial SSU rRNA". It matches the Rfam family "Bacterial small subunit ribosomal RNA", at positions 355 to 752 of the family's 1533-position model. The record is from RNAcentral.